UGAUGUUUUUAGUUGUUGAAGAGCCAC
This 27-nucleotide non-coding RNA is filed under the name Bombyx mori (domestic silkworm). Lineage: Eukaryota; Metazoa; Arthropoda; Insecta; Lepidoptera; Bombycidae. The record is from RNAcentral.